Molecule: ribosomal RNA, 498 nt
Filed under: uncultured bacterium
Lineage: Bacteria
Description: partial 16S ribosomal RNA
Rfam family: Bacterial small subunit ribosomal RNA
Source: RNAcentral
ACUCAAAUGAAUAGACGGGGGCCCGCACAAGCGGUGGAGCAUGUGGUUUAAUUCGAUGCAACGCGAAGAACCUUACCUACCCUUGACAUGUCAGGAAGCCUGGUUAAGCGCCGGGUGUGCCGAAAGGAACCUGAACACAGGUGCUGCAUGGCUGUCGUCAGCUCGUGUCGUGAGAUGUUGGGUUAAGUCCCGUAACGAGCGCAACCCUUGUCCUUCGUUGCCAGGCCGUAAGGCGGAACUCGAAGGAGACUGCCGGUGAUAAACCGGAGGAAGGUGGGGAUGACGUCAAGUCAUCAUGGCCUUUAUGGGUAGGGCUACACACGUGCUACAAUGGGCGUUACAGAGGGUUGCGAACCUGCGAAGGGGAGCUAAUCCUGAAAAAGCGCUCGUAGUCCGGAUCGGAGUCUGCAACUCGACUCCGUGAAGUCGGAAUCGCUAGUAAUCGCGGAUCAGAAUGCCGCGGUGAAUACGUUCCCGGGCCUUGUACACACCGCCCGU